UUCAUUUGAUUUACUCUCACAAAACUUCAUCAACCCUUUUUCUCUCUCUUUCUCUCUCUCUGGCGACUCAUGAACAUAUCUGUAAGGAUUUCACCAGAUCUAGGGUUUUACUUUCAUUCGAAUUCAAAUCCAUGACCCCAACCUGUGACGGUGUGGUGUGCAGUGUUAAAAUCCGCUGAUUAGGGUUCCGGCAGUGGGAUUCUCGAGCAGAUUGGUGGCAGACGAGCAUCCGGCUGUAGAUGGUGGUUUUCUGGUAGAUCUAAGUUUUAAACCCCCAGCCGCUCCUUUUCGUUCUCUCUCAAAGAUUCAGUCCAGAUCUACCCUCACUUCGCGAUUCACCAUAAGCUAAGAGGAGACAUGAUAGAGGAGAAAGGGAGCCGACAAAGCCCUAGCUGUUGCAUCAGGCGGAGAUGAGUACUGGAGACCAACUUAGCGUUAUUGAUUAAAAUCUGUAUUUAAAGCUGUGCUUGACUAAUUUCCUGUUGUGUUAUAAUCGGAUUUGUUGUUGUAGCUGAUUGAAGAUGAAUUCAAUGAUUACUAACUGUUUUGUUAGGCUUUUUUGUUUAAUUUUGAUUUUUAUUAAUUGAAAUCUGUUUAUGAACUGUGAUUGAAUGAUUUCAUUUUUUAAUCGGAUGUGUUUGUUAUAGUUGAUGAAAGAAGGAUUAGAUGAAUAUAACUAUUUUGUUUGUUUAAUAUGAUUGUUAUUGAGUGAACUCUGUUUAUGAAGCUGUGAUUGACUGAUUUCAUGUUGUUUCAAUAUUGGAUGUGUUGUUGUAGCUGAUGAAAGGAGGAUUAGAUGAAUAAUAACUGUUUUGUUAUGUUUUGUUUGGUUAAUUUGAUUGUUAUUGAUUGAAACUUGUUUAUGAGCUAUGAUUUCAUGUUGUUUUGAAUUGGAUAUGUCGCUAUACGAGGAUCUGUCUACUGAAAAUGAAAGUAUAGCAGUUGCUUGUGAUGAUGGGUGUGUGUGAUUAUAUAACAUCUCAGAAUCAGAUCAAUUAAACUACUUCAAAUCACUUCCAAGAGUCAAUGGUGAGAUAACACUUCCUGUUCCUGUUACUACUUUUCCAUUUUUUAUUAUAAUUUGUGUAUUUAUUGUACUUUUUAAUCGUUUAUGUGUAUGACGUGUGUUAAGUGUCGCUUGGAGUCUAGAUGCUAAAAGGAUAUAUUCAGGGAGUAGUGAUGGUAAAUAUAUCAUUAUUUUAAAUGGUACUGGUGUAGUUCAGGUAUCUUAAGAUUAUGUUGAGGUUAUAAUUGUCCUGCUAUUGCUUUUGUAGAGUAUCAUUUUAGCUCAUUUUUAUCAUAGAUAAUCACUCAAGCUAGCUUUCUUUUUCAUGACAGUUUCCCUGUUGUACAUUGAUUUGCAGCAAAGAUUCAAGAUUUAAGUGUCCCCAUUUUAUAAAUUAACAAGAUUAAUUGAAAAAAAAUGUGUAGUUAUGAACAAUUUAUCAAUAACUAUGAGUUUAUUGAUAUACAAGGCACUGAUUUUGUUCUUAUAAUUAGUGAUUUGAUUCUAUAAUCUUGAACUUUGUAGGUAUAUAUGACUACACUAGGGGAUAGUGGGCUUGUAGCAGCCAUUAGAAUCGUCACAGCUUUGAUUUGCAGAACUGUAUGUAUUUGGUUGUCGAUUACUGGUAAAAGAAAAUUUGCCAUUGCGUCGUUUCACUUUGCAAGAGUUUGGUUAUGAAGGAUGCAUUUGUUUGUAUGAAGUUGAAGGCUUCAUCAAAUUGGCAAUAAUUACAUUAAAUGAACCUGAAUUGGACCAAUGAAGGGUAUUCCGUAUUGGAUGGCUCCUGAAUUUAUACUUCAGACUGGCCACAACUUUUUUGCUCCUUGUGCUCUGGUCAGACGUAGACGUUGGUGCAGCUGGUAGGCUAGAGAAGACUCACAAACGUUGCAGUCGUUCAGCUAAAGAAGCAUGGAAAUUGAUUUGAGAGUCCUUGUUACAGGAACAAGAUCCUCUCAUGGUUUUCUGACGCUGCUGCUUUGUUGAAGAAUUUUUCUUUGGUUUCUCAAACUAAAUAUUUGGAAAUUUCUGAUCCUGUUAAGAAACUUUCUGUAGACACUAGGAAUGGUCAGAUAAAACCUAGCAAUAAGGUUGUGACCCCUCUGACUUUAGAUGUUAUGGAUCCAUCGUUGGCUUAAUAUCCCAACGGUUAU
Molecule: long non-coding RNA, 2157 nt
Organism: Helianthus annuus (common sunflower)
Lineage: Eukaryota; Viridiplantae; Streptophyta; Magnoliopsida; Asterales; Asteraceae
Exons: 4
Source: RefSeq, a predicted model, not a curated record